UUAGUGCAAAGUGAAUCAUUCGAAUGCUCAGAAUGUAUUAUAUUUGUAAAUUCCAGCCAAUGCUGCUCUAACAUGAUACAAGAGAUCAACACUUUCAUCCAUAUGGAGUGCUAAUAUACUGAUAUUUGGGAUUUUUUAUCUUUGAAAUAGCUUUUAAUCCAACAAGAAAGAUGAAGGUUCGUGCCUGUUGAGUGUGGAGGAGUUAAAAGUAGGUGAGUUAAAAAAAAAUGUA
Molecule: long non-coding RNA, 232 nt
Organism: Pyrus x bretschneideri (Chinese white pear)
Lineage: Eukaryota; Viridiplantae; Streptophyta; Magnoliopsida; Rosales; Rosaceae
Exons: 3
Source: RefSeq, a predicted model, not a curated record